This 221-nucleotide long non-coding RNA is filed under the name Elaeis guineensis (African oil palm). RNAcentral's name for it is "long non-coding RNA (EGUI_LNC058402)". Lineage: Eukaryota; Viridiplantae; Streptophyta; Magnoliopsida; Arecales; Arecaceae. The record is from RNAcentral.
GAUUUGAAGAAAGAGAUUAUGAAACAGGUAUACGAUUUCAUCACAAUCUAAAUUUCAGCAUAUGUUAAUUUCAGCACAUGGACUAGAUCGUUAUGGUUUUAUAUUUUUAUGCAUGCAUGAUUCAGAUUAAAAAUAUUUUAAUCUUGUAUUCUACUAUGAUAUUUAAAAAAUAAAAUUUUGAGACACACAUGUAUGCCCUAAACCUCAAAUCCAAUAGUGGU